This is a long non-coding RNA of Drosophila novamexicana, 3275 nucleotides long. RefSeq lists it as uncharacterized. The transcript has 11 exons. NCBI's taxonomy places the organism in Eukaryota, Metazoa, Arthropoda, Insecta, Diptera, Drosophilidae. The record is from RefSeq and is a predicted model, not a curated record.
UUACAGUUCGAGCUCUCUUACAGUCAGGAGCUCCAACUAUCGGAAAUUAUUUGUUUUACAAAAAAAAAAAAUAAGAAAAAAUGUGAGAAAAAUACGUUUCGUGCUUAAAAUUAAUCUUGUGACUUUUUUCAAGCGGUUGAGAAUUGUUUUAAAAAGAAAUUUCAAAUUGUGACAGAAAAAUAAAUGUAAAUUUUUUGUUUAGUUCGUACCAAAUUUCGUUCCAAUGUCAAUGUCAGGAAGUGUGCUACUUAGAAAUGUUAGAUGAAAAUACACUCAAAAAAAAACAAAACGUUUAAACCCCUCAACAAUGAUACACACAGGAGCACACAAUAAUCAAAACCCUGAUAAAUGGCGAUCUGCUUGGUGUAUUUGCGUUUUUGCUGACAUUAUACAUCUUUGAUGCGACGGUACCACAGACCACGAGACUUUUCAUAGGGUUUGCUGGAUUAGUCGAUCAAAGGCAAAUAUGAAUAAACUGUUUGUGGCACAAAUUCACCCUCCCAUCUGUAGAAAGAAAAAAAAAACCAAAUUAGAACAGAAAUACAGAUUACACUUAACCAACACUACAAACUCCAGUGUUUACACAGCACACACACCCACACACAUACUCAAUUCUCAGACGUUUCGAUUUCUUCGUCGAUGCUUAUUUAUAUGCAUCUUUUAUGCUCGCUCUGUACAUAGACAUAUGUAUUAGGAAAACGCAUCUAAAUAACAACCAAAAAUCGUGGUUUGUUUAAACUUACGUUUUUUUUUUUUUUUUUUGUGUGUUUUUGUGUUCGCCCAUAUCGUCGUUGUCGCACAUCAGGAAGUAAGCUUCGUUAAUUAACAUUGUCGCGGUUGGUUUUACCAAAAUAUCUGCCCGCCUAACAAUAUACAAUAAUAUUUUGGACGCAAUCGCCUCGUGGCAUCGCCAUAAAGGGGGUAAGCAGCUCUAACCGUUCAAAUACAGUUCUUGCACGGAAUCCAGUUGAACAGGAUCAUGAGGGUUGCGCGUCACUGUAUUAUCAGAAGCUGCAUAUUUGUUUGUUCUAAUAAUCGUCUAUCCAAAUAAAACCACAGAUGCAACAAACUCAUUCUUAUUUCGCUUAAUUUAUCUGGGUUUAAGUUGAGCUUGAAGAAAUAGAGGGAAAGGAAAGGAGGUAUCUCUCGUUACUUCUCCACUCUACUCGUUAGUUUUAAUAAAAUUAACAUUAAUUUGAUAUUCACUUGGAAGUGCUUAGGGGAAAGAUUGAGAGAUUUCUUUUAGCUGAAUCGAUUAGAUUUUGCCCUGCCAAAUAUGGCCCGCUCAACAUAAUUGUUUCAGAGUUUGGCGAAGCUAUGUACGUUUGGAAUUCAGUAGAAGCUGUCAAAUUUGCUGAAAGCGGCACAAGCUAUCGACUAUCGGAAACUAAUACUGCGUGGGCAAUAGGAGGACCUACAUUCCCUAGCUCUUGGCUCUGAUAGCCUUGCGUUCAAACGGAGGGACAAACGAACAUGUCUAUAGAUAGACUCGGCUAUUGAUGCUGAUUAAGAAUAUAUAUACUUUCUGGGUUCACAGAUGUUUUUCUUCCGGCCUUUUACAGAAAAAACUGGGUAUAAAAUUCGUCAUCCAAAUUCUUUCUAUCUGAUGGAGAGGAGUACAUAUUUUGCAGAAGUGUCGAUUCCGACUGCUCUAAUUUCCAUAGAUACUCGCAACUUCUUGGUACUCGUUAGUUUUCGGGUACUCGUUACUUUUCGGUGCUCGUUACUUUUCCGUACUCUUUACUUUCGGGUACUCGUUAGUAUAGGUUAAUUUUCAGUAAUUUUUACUCUUGGGUAUUCGUCAGUUUUUAGGGGCUCGUUACUUUUCAGUACUCAAUUCACGGUUACUCGUUACUUUUGGGCACUAGUUACCACGACUGCUCUACUCUCUAUCAGGUUACGCUUCAGUUUUGUCUUCUCGUCACUCUGACUAAUCACAUUCACCCGAAAUUAAUUAAGCUACUCGUUACUUUUGGGUACUCGUUACUUUUGGGCAGUCGUUGCUUUUGGUUUCUCUGAGAUACUUAAGACGUCGCAGAUAUAUACUAGAAAUCCAUAAGUUGGCCAUGUGAAUAGAAUUUGAUGCUGUAAAGUCAGAGCAGGCCUUGAAAUCGACAUAAAAAUGAAUGAGCCCAGGCGAAAGGCAAACAGAUUCAUUCCAGUUGGAGCUCCACUGGAGCCAACAGCUCUAGUUUUCUAAAUUGUUGUAUAAAUUUCAAAAUUUGUUCUGCUUUUUCUCUUUGUUUAUUUCUGUUGAGAGAAACAAAUAAAAUCAAAAAGUCCAAAAAUUCAAUUUGUUUCAAAGUUUCAAUGUUUCUAUUCAAUCAAUGUGAAAAUUUCAAAAAGUGUUGCAAAAUUACGUUCAGAAGCGGUUUGUAUGUUCGUGUGAAUGGGUGUGAACACAAUGAUGUUGUCACAGAUGCUCUUUGUACACGGCGCAAAAUUUUAAAUGCUCAAACAGAAGUCCAGAUCAAAAGUUUUACGCGUUUCUAUUUAUUUCUAACAACCAAAUAAUCGUAUUUCGUAACCAAGAAGGGAUUUGAUGUGAUUGUUUAUUUCACAAUUCUUAACUUUCAAUGUAUAUUCGCCCAGAGAAUCGGAAACUCUUGGAAUAGAUUGCUCAGUCAAGGGGUAAGUCCAUCCAGACAGAUCUCUCGAGCGAUCCCUCCGAUCCGUCUGGUAAUACUCCCCAUUCUGAGCACCUGCUCAUCUCGGGGAGAUGAGGACUCGUUGUCCUUUACAAUUUGCAAGACUCUCAAUGUUUGUCACAAGUUCAGAUCAUUCAAUUCAACAACCAAAAAAUAAAUCAGAAAUUCAAAAUUGUAAUUCGAAAAGCAAUUCUCUAAGCUCGACUUUGAGCUUCAUCUGAACGGAAAAAAUCGUAACAAGAAAUUAAUAAAAAAUACAUAAAUCAUAUCGUCACGGAAGAAGGCGAGGCCAAGCAACUCUCGAUGCGGAAGAUUCUACUCGAAAUUUAAUUUUAACAGCUGGCCUAACUCCUAACUACAAAAAUACUAGUCGUAAUGUCAACCAAAAACUGAAUCAAAAUUAAAUUAAACAAGAAUUGCAAUAAUAAAAAUAAAUAUGCAAGUUAAGACAUAAACAAUUAUUCUCUCAAUGCUGUGAGGGAAGAGGGGUUAAUUGGAUGGGAAGGGUUAAAACCCAGACUGUGAACUGAACCAUCAACAUGGUUCAAACUGAGACUAAAGAGAUAUAUAUUGGAGCAUGCCAAGGGAGUCAAUUGCAGAAAUCGUUUAUAGCUCCUAGUGUGUGUG